GCGCUGGCGGCGUGCUAAUACAUGCAGUCGAGCGAAUGGAUUAGAGCUUGCUCUUAUGAAGUUAGCGGCGGACGGGUGAGUAACACGUGGGUAACCUGCCCAUAAGACUGGGAUAACUCCGGGAAACCGGGGCUAAUACCGGAUAACAUUUUGAACCGCAUGGUUCGAAAUUGAAAGGCGGCUUCGGCUGUCACUUAUGGAUGGACCCGCGUCGCAUUAGCUAGUUGGUGAGGUAACGGCUCACCAAGGCAACGAUGCGUAGCCGACCUGAGAGGGUGAUCGGCCACACUGGGACUGAGACACGGCCCAGACUCCUACGGGAGGCAGCAGUAGGGAAUCUUCCGCAAUGGACGAAAGUCUGACGGAGCAACGCCGCGUGAGUGAUGAAGGCUUUCGGGUCGUAAAACUCUGUUGUUAGGGAAGAACAAGUGCUAGUUGAAUAAGCUGGCACCUUGACGGUACCUAACCAGAAAGCCACGGCUAACUACGUGCCAGCAGCCGCGGUAAUACGUAGGUGGCAAGCGUUAUCCGGAAUUAUUGGGCGUAAAGCGCGCGCAGGUGGUUUCUUAAGUCUGAUGUG
Molecule: ribosomal RNA, 580 nt
Filed under: bacterium W03
Lineage: Bacteria
Description: bacterial SSU rRNA
Rfam family: Bacterial small subunit ribosomal RNA
Source: RNAcentral